Molecule: ribosomal RNA, 406 nt
Filed under: uncultured bacterium
Lineage: Bacteria
Description: partial 16S ribosomal RNA
Rfam family: Bacterial small subunit ribosomal RNA
Source: RNAcentral
AGUGAACGCUGGCGGUAGGCCUAACACAUGCAAGUCGAACGAGUGGCGGACGGGUGAGUAAUGUCUGGGAAACUGCCUGAUGGAGGGGGAUAACUACUGGAAACGGUAGCUAAUACCGCAUACCAUCGAAUGUGCCCAGGUGGGAUUAGCUAGUUGGGGGGGUAACGGCUCACCAAGGCGACGAUCCCUAGCUGGUCUGAGAGGAUGACCAGCCACACUGGAACUGAGACACGGUCCAGACUCCUACGGGAGGCAGCAGUGGGGAAUAUUGCACAAUGGGCGCAAGCCUGAUGCAGCCAUGCCGCGUGUAUGAAGAAGGCCUUCGGGUUGUAAAGCACUUUCAGUGGGGAAGCGGUACCCAAAGAAGAAGCACCGGCUAACUCCGUGCCAGCAGCCGCGGUAAUAC